UACGUAGGGUGCAAGCGUUGUCCGGAAUCAUUGGGCGUAAAGAGCUCGUAGGCGGUUUGUCGCGUCUGCUGUGAAAACCUGGGGCUUAACCGCAGACGGUCGUGGGAAACUGGAAGGCUAGAGUGCGGGAGAGGAGAGUGGAAUUCCCGGUGUAGCGGUGAAAUGCGCAGAUAUCGGGAAGAACACCCGUGGCGAAGGCGGCUCUCUGGAACGCAACUGACGCUGAGACGCGAAAGCGUGGGGAGCAAACAGG
This 253-nucleotide ribosomal RNA is filed under the name uncultured bacterium. RNAcentral's name for it is "partial 16S ribosomal RNA". It matches the Rfam family "Bacterial small subunit ribosomal RNA", at positions 524 to 776 of the family's 1533-position model. The record is from RNAcentral.